RNAcentral lists this ribosomal RNA (776 nucleotides) under uncultured Neocallimastigales. Its description in RNAcentral is "partial large subunit ribosomal RNA". It matches the Rfam family "Eukaryotic large subunit ribosomal RNA", at positions 24 to 643 of the family's 3401-position model. The record is from RNAcentral. Lineage: Eukaryota; Fungi; Neocallimastigomycota; Neocallimastigomycetes; Neocallimastigales.
UAUGUGAUCGUCUCUCGCAUAUCAAUAAGCGGAGGAAAAGAAACUAACAAGGAUUCCCCUAGUAACGGCGAGUGAAGCGGGAAGAGCUCAAAUUUGAAAUCUUAAAGGGUUUCCCUUUACGAAUUGUAGUUUAAAGAAGUGGUUUUCUGUUGAGGUUUUGGUAAAAGUUCUUUGGAAUAGGACAUCAUAGAGGGUGAGAAUCCCGUAUUUGACCUUUACUUUCAACUUUGUGAUACACUUUCAAAGAGUCGGAUUGUUUGGGAAUGCAGUCCAAAAUGGGUGGUAAAUUUCAUCUAAAGCUAAAUAUUGGCGAGGAGACCGAUAGCGAACAAGUACCGUGAGGGAAAGAUGAAAAGAACUUUGAAAAGAGAGUUAAACAGUACGUGAAAUUGUCAAAAGGGAAGCGUUUGACACCAGUGUUGUUUUUCUGAAAAUCAAUUAAAGAACUGUUUAUGCUAAGCUGUUUAGACUUUAUCAGCUAUCUGUUUAGUUUUGAGCUUUUCUUUAAUGCACUUUUCAGUUAACAAGUCAACAUCAAUUUCUUUUGCUGUAAAAAAGCUUGAGGAAGGUGGCUUGAGAUUCGUCUUAAGUGUUUAUAGCCUCUUGCCUAUGCAGUCGGAGAGAUUGAGGUCUGCAGCGUAGAUCCUUCGGGGCUAAAUGCAUUUGUGCUAAGUUAUAGCAUUUUAUAGACAACUUGUUGACUAUGAUUUGUCUUGUAGCUUACUCGCUUAUGUUAUUUUACCUACGCUUAGGAUGUUGACACACGCGCGUGCUCG